Molecule: unclassified non-coding RNA, 223 nt
Filed under: rhizosphere metagenome
Description: partial ribosomal RNA internal transcribed spacer region
Source: RNAcentral
GUAGGUGAACCUGCGGAAGGAUCAUUAUAAGACGAGUGAGUGGAGUGAGUGAAGUGAGGCUAUGCCGAACGAUGCGAACGAAGCGAGCGAAGUGGAGCAGCGUGGUGAUGUACUACUUGUACAUUGUCGCCGGACCUGCCUUCGCAAGGAGGUAGACAUGAUACAAAUCUUGAAUUAUACUACAUAAUUUUAACGACUUUUAACAACGGAUCUCUGGGCUCCC